Molecule: ribosomal RNA, 499 nt
Filed under: uncultured bacterium
Lineage: Bacteria
Description: partial 16S ribosomal RNA
Rfam family: Bacterial small subunit ribosomal RNA
Source: RNAcentral
ACUCAAAGGAAUUGACGGGGGCCCGCACAAGCGGUGGAGCAUGUGGUUUAAUUCGAUGCAACGCGAAGAACCUUACCUGCCCUUGACAUCUGCGGAAUUCUACAGAGAUGUGGGAGUGCCGAGAGGAACCGCAAGACAGGUGCUGCAUGGCUGUCGUCAGCUCGUGUUGUGAGAUGUUGGGUUAAGUCCCGUAACGAGCGCAACCCUUGCCCUUUGUUGCCAGCGCGUCAUGGCGGGAACUCAAAGGGGACUGCCGGUGAUGAACCGGAGGAAGGCGGGGACGACGUCAAGUCAUCAUGGCCUUUAUGGGCAGGGCUACACACGUGCUACAAUGGUGCGUACAGAGGGAAGCGAAGCUGUGAGGUGGAGCGAAUCCUUUAAAGCGCAUCGUAGUCCGGAUUGGAGUCUGCAACUCGACUCCAUGAAGUUGGAAUCGCUAGUAAUCGCGAAUCAGAAUGUCGCGGUGAAUACGUUCCCGGGCCUUGUACACACCGCCCGU